ACAUGGCGAAAUUACAAAUAUUUUUGCCCUAAACCUAGCCGAUUCAUUCCCAGCGGCAACAACCGCAUCCAUCCUCUUCGUUGUCAUCGCCCCAUCCAGCCAGCGCCCCCGUCCGGUCGCCUUGCUUCACCAUGUAGCCCUUGCCAGCCGUGCCACCACAGCAAGCGCCCCCGCCUUCGCCUGGCAGCCGGUCGCAAUCGGCCAGCCGGUUAGCGCCUGCGCCCGAACGCCUCGCUCCAGCCACCAGCCCACGCCCGCUGCCCACCGCCCACGUCAUGGCGGCGCCAGUCGUUGCCCCACUGUGUUCCAGUAGAUGGUAGUCUCUUCUCCCUGUGUUGCUUCCAUCUUGCUUUUCUGAAGCUGAUAGCCACAUCCUUGUCAGUUUGUAGAACUCAAGUUGUUUGCUUGGUCUGGUCUAGUUGGGUUACCGCAGUUGACCUGACAUGCCUUUAAAUCAUAAAUCCAUUGAAUUUCGAUCCUGAUUUUGUAAGCCAGUAAGUUAUAGAUAGGUGUAUCCUUUGUUGUUCUAUUCAUAGCUAUUUGAUCCGGUGCUCGUGAAAUAGAGCACCAAAAAGACCCUUUUUCUGACAUGUUGCUCCUGAUCACACGCAUGCUUUGUAUUUUUGUGGCUGGUUGACUGAUGCACUAUUUUAGUAUGUCGUGGAAACUGUAGGAUGCAAUAGGAUGCUUAUUUCAUAUGUUUAUCAUCCACGUGUACAAUUUCUAUAUCUCUUUUGUUGGUAAUUCGUUAGGCUUGGACAGAUAGAAUCGUACCCAAUCGCUGGGCAAUAACUGACUCAUGAUGACUGUUAUGAUUUGUUCAAUUUCGCAUAACUGACUCAAUCGCUACCUCAUACUUCGUUUCGAUCAUUGUACUUUUAUGAUCCUGUGAUCCCAAGCAUGGUUCUAAGACUAAGUAUAUUCUUUUUGAGUUUUUGCUUGCUGUUCGUGAGGAAGAUAUGCAAAAUUAGAGAGGGACAAUAUGGUCACUGCAGGAGAUGUGGGAAAAAUAAAGAAAAAAAUAAAAAUUAAUAAGAGGUUAUAGUACUAUUCUUAUGACACUAGCAGGAGAUGUAGAAAAAAAUAAUUAAUAAGAACUCAAGUCUAAAGCUUGCAACACAUUAUUAUAACACUAGCAGAUCAUUAAAUUAGAUAUCUAUACUAGAGCCUAAAGUCCAUUGAAAUUUUAAAUUCUAUACUUUGACGUAUGGAUGGUGUUUGGAGUGCAAAUAUGCAUGUUUAUGUUCAUUUCCUUUUGCAGGUUCAUAAAGCAUGGUUACCACCUUGGCUAGCGGCACAAUAUGCUCAUUAUGUGGUAAGAGCAGAACCAUAAAUAUUUAUCACUUCAAUUUCCAUUCUUAUGUUCUCCCAUCACUGACCACAAAUAUUUACUACUACAAUUUCCAUGUUCUUGUUCUCUCAUUGCUAUAGACGUCAUCAUUUGUAGGAGGUUGUCUCAGAUCACUGGAGCUAACAUGGGAAACCUGCUAUGCAGAAUGUUUUUGUGCCUUUUUCAUACUAGUUUCUUUUAUUUCCAAUUUCAAAAUGAAUUACACAAAUAAAAUGACCAUUUAUAUGUCUACGUAUCUAACAUUUCAGGCAUCAGAAAAAUUAGCACAUGCAAAGAAAUGGGUUGAAACUCAUAUUGAGGCUACUAAGAUGGUAAUGCCCAUUUGUUCAUGUAGUUCAAUUUCUUUUGUUUUAUAUUGGACUGACAGUUGGCUGACAUUAUUACCUCCUAUGAUUGAAGAAAUGGAUUUCUGUUAAGGAGAAAUUGGUUGUCCUAAAAAAUGUAGAACCUUAUGUACAAAAGGUAUCAACAAGAUGUUAAUGGGCUGAACUUCAUAUUAAGACUUCUAAAAUGGUAAUACCCAUUUAUUCAUGUACUUUGAUUUCUUCUGUUUUAUCUUGGGCUAACAGUUGACUGACAUUAUUAUUUCCUAUGAUUGAAGAAAUGGAUUCCUGUUAAAGACAAAAUUGGUGGUCCUCACGAAAAAUGCAGAACCUUAUGUACAAAUCGGUUGUCUUCAAAAUGUUGAUCUUGUAGCUGCAAUAAAGAGAAGCAACAAUGGCGCUGAUGCUACAUGGUUAGAAGUAGCAAUGUUGGUCUGGUAGCUCCAAGAUUUGGUUGUUAUUGAAUAAUAUCUAUGAUAAUAUGUUGAUAAGUAUAUGUGAUGAUCAUUGAUAGUUGUUCAAUUAUAAUGGGUUGUGCUUCUUGUGCUACAUUGACAUCGAUGAUAGUUAUAAAAUAAAAUGGCCUCGCUUGGGCCAAAUGUUUUGUGAUGAACAAAAGUGUUUUGUGACGAACAUCAUCAUAGUAUGAAUGCCACGUAAGGUCC
This 2339-nucleotide long non-coding RNA is filed under the name Zea mays. RNAcentral describes it as "long non-coding RNA (ZMAY_LNC005300)". The record is from RNAcentral. Lineage: Eukaryota; Viridiplantae; Streptophyta; Magnoliopsida; Poales; Poaceae.